Molecule: ribosomal RNA, 460 nt
Filed under: uncultured bacterium
Lineage: Bacteria
Description: partial 16S ribosomal RNA
Rfam family: Bacterial small subunit ribosomal RNA
Source: RNAcentral
CCUACGGGAGGCAGCAGUGAGGAAUAUUGGUCAAUGGACGGAAGUCUGAACCAGCCAUGCCGCGUGCAGGAAGACGGCUCUAUGAGUUGUAAACUGCUUUUGUACAAGGGUAAACCUGAAUACGUGUAUUCAGCUGAAAGUACUGUACGAAUAAGGACCGGCUAACUCCGUGCCAGCAGCCGCGGUAAUACGGAGGAUCCAAGCGUUAUCCGGAUUUAUUGGGUUUAAAGGGUGCGUAGGCGGAUUGAUAAGUUAGAGGUGAAAUGUCCGGGCUUAACUCGGGAACUGCAUCUAAAACUGUUGUUCUAGAGAGUAGGUGCGGUAGGCGGAAUGUAUGGUGUAGCGGUGAAAUGCUUAGAGAUGAUACAGAACACCGAUUGCGAAGGCAGCUUACCAAUCUAUAUCUGACGUUGAGGCACGAAAGCGUGGGGAGCAAACAGGAUUAGAUACCCGGGUAGUC